CGGCCCUCGGAGGCUGACGGAAGGCGGUGGCUGAGGAGCGGCGCCUCUGGUUGAGCGCUCGCCGUGUGUCCCGCACCUGUCUGUCCUGCCGCCGCCCGCACAGCACCGCACAUCUCCAGUCGGACUGGCUACAUUUCAAGGGCUCAACCAUCACACAUUACCAGUGGCUACUGCAUCAGACUGUGCAGUGCUAGAUGGGGAGUCAGAAGAGAAACCAAGUGAUUUCCAUGUCAAGUGGUGAACAGGCUAAGAAGAAAUGUAAAUUGGGGAAAGAGCAUGGGGAAUGUGGGAGUUGCUGUUUGAAAGAGGAUGGUUGGGAAGGCUGAAGAGCUGUCAUUUGCAGAGGGACCCAAAAGAGGUCCACUUACAGCUGGAUUUACUUCCACCUCUGCCACCUGUGAGACAGCAAGACCAACCCCUCCUCUUCCUCCUCCUCAGCCUACUCCGAGUGAAGAUGAUGAAGAUGAA
Molecule: long non-coding RNA, 468 nt
Filed under: Pan troglodytes (chimpanzee)
Lineage: Eukaryota; Metazoa; Chordata; Mammalia; Primates; Hominidae
Description: long non-coding RNA NONPTRT007950
Source: RNAcentral